AGCAGCCGCGGUAAUUCCAGCUCCAAUAGCGUAUAUUAAAGUUGUUGCAGUUAAAAAGCUCGUAGUUGAAUUUCGGGAUCAAUUAGUCGGUCGUGCCUCUGGUACGUACUGGUUUUAUUGGUUCCUCCCUUCUGACGAAACAUGAUGUCAUUAAUUUGGUGUCGUGGAGAAUCAGGACUGUUACCUUGAAAAAAUUAGAGUGUUUAUAGCAGGCUAACGCUUGAAUACAUUAGCAUGGAAUAAUGAAAUAGGACGUUCGACCCUAUUUUGUUGGUUUCUAGGAUCGACGUAAUGAUUAAUAGGGAUAGUUGGGGGCAUUAGUAUUCAAUUGUCAGAGGUGAAAUUCUUGGAUUUAUUGAAGACUAACUACUGCGAAAGCAUUUGCCAAGGAUGUUUUCAUUAAUCAAGAACGAAAGUUAGGGGAUCGAAGACGAUCAGAUACCGUCGUAGUCUUAACCAUAAACUAUGCCGACUAGGGAUCGGAUGAUGUUAAUUUUUUUAAUGACUCAUUCGGCGCCUU
This 520-nucleotide unclassified non-coding RNA is filed under the name uncultured Glomus. RNAcentral describes it as "SSU rRNA". It matches the Rfam family "Eukaryotic small subunit ribosomal RNA", at positions 569 to 1089 of the family's 1831-position model. The record is from RNAcentral. Lineage: Eukaryota; Fungi; Glomeromycota; Glomeromycetes; Glomerales; Glomeraceae.